UAGUGGCGAACGGGUGAGUAACACGUGGGCAAUCUGCCCUUCACUCUGGGACAAGCCCUGGAAACGGGGUCUAAUACCGGAUAACACUUCCACUCUCAUGGGUGGGGGUUAAAAGCUCCGGCGGUGAAGGAUGAGCCCGCGGCCUAUCAGCUUGUUGGUGAGGUAACGGCUCACCAAGGCGACGACGGGUAGCCGGCCUGAGAGGGCGACCGGCCACACUGGGACUGAGACACGGCCCAGACUCCUACGGGAGGCAGCAGUGGGGAAUAUUGCACAAUGGGCGAAAGCCUGAUGCAGCGACGCCGCGUGAGGGAUGACGGCCUUCGGGUUGUAAACCUCUUUCAGCAGGGAAGAAGCGAAAGUGACGGUACCUGCAGAAGAAGCGCCGGCUAACUACGUGCCAGCAGCCGCGGUAAUACGUAGGGCGCAAGCGUUGUCCGGAAUUAUUGGGCGUAAAGAGCUCGUAGGCGGUCUGUCACGUCGGAUGUGAAAGCCCGGGGCUUAACCCCGGGUCUGCAUUCGAUACGGGCAGACUAGAGUGUGGUAGGGGAGAUCGGAAUUCCU
RNAcentral lists this ribosomal RNA (564 nucleotides) under Streptomyces sp. 316H08. Its description in RNAcentral is "bacterial SSU rRNA". It matches the Rfam family "Bacterial small subunit ribosomal RNA", at positions 93 to 671 of the family's 1533-position model. RNAcentral also lists the same sequence under 1 other name. The record is from RNAcentral. Lineage: Bacteria; Bacillati; Actinomycetota; Actinomycetes; Kitasatosporales; Streptomycetaceae.